This 331-nucleotide ribosomal RNA is filed under the name uncultured eukaryote. Its description in RNAcentral is "partial 18S ribosomal RNA". It matches the Rfam family "Eukaryotic small subunit ribosomal RNA", at positions 1470 to 1796 of the family's 1831-position model. The record is from RNAcentral.
CCCUUAGAUGUUCUGGGCCGCACGCGCGCUACACUGACGAAGUCAGCGAGCAUGUCCUACGCCGACAGGUGCGGGGAAUCUUGUCAAACUUCGUCGUGAUGGGGAUUGAUUAUUGAAAUUCUUGAUCAUCAACGAGGAAUUCCUAGUAAGCGCAAGUCAGCAGCUUGCGUUUAUUACGUCCCUGCCCUUUGUACACACCGCCCGUCGCUACUACCGAUUGAAUGGUUUAGUGAGAUCUUCGGAUUGGCGCCACUGCGGCUCAGCAAUGGGCUCGGUGGAUGCCGAAAAGUUGAUCAAACUUGAUCAUUUAGAGGAAGUAAAAGUCGUAACA